Molecule: ribosomal RNA, 496 nt
Filed under: uncultured bacterium
Lineage: Bacteria
Description: partial 16S ribosomal RNA
Rfam family: Bacterial small subunit ribosomal RNA
Source: RNAcentral
AUGAACGCUGGCGGCGUGCCUCAUACAUGCAAGUCGAGCGAACGGACGAGAAGCUUGCUUCUCUGAUGUUAGCGGCGGACGGGUGAGUAACACGUGGAUAACCUACCUAUAAGACUGGGAUAACUUCGGGAAACCGGAGCUAAUACCGGAUAAUAUUUUGAACCGCAUGGUUCAAAAGUGAAAGACGGUCUUGCUGUCACUUAUAGAUGGAUCCGCGCUGCAUUAGCUAGUUGGUAAGGUAACGGCUUACCAAGGCAACGAUGCAUAGCCGACCUGAGAGGGGGAACGGCCAAACCAGAACUGAGACACGGUCCAGACUCCUACGGGAGGCAGCAGUAGGGAAUCUUCCGCAAUGGGCGAAAGCCUGACGGAGCAACGCCGCGUGAGUGAUGAAGGUCUUCGGAUCGUAAAACUCUGUUAUUAGGGAAGAACAUAUGUGUAAGUAACUGUGCACAUCUUGACGGUACCUAAUCAGAAAGCCACGGCUAACUACGUG